CCCAAAGUACUGCAUGUGGAAAAAGUGUCAGGUUUUUGUAGUUUUGCAUGUGUCCACCAAGCACUUCUGAGGACUAUUUGUUUAAUGAAUAAACGGCUAUUGUGCCAACACAUUGUGUGUGUUUACAAUGUGUGAAGUUUGCAGUAGCAAAUCUUGCCAUAGGGUGGGUCUGUUUCAUUGUUGGAUUCACUCCUCCCAUUCCGCUAGGGGGCUCUGUAGUUGUUUUGCAUUGGUUGUGGAGGGGAAGUGAAACAAGAGAAGAAACUUACGGCAGGCCAGUAAUGCACCGAGACUGCCGUUAGCUGAAGCUAACAAGCUGAAGCUACAAUAAAAUCAUAUUCUACUGGCGUUCAUGAGUGUUGCCCAACGUGUUUAACCGGACGGCACGUCCGUGUAAAAGCACUCGACAAUAAAAAUAAACAACAAC
This is a long non-coding RNA of Xiphophorus couchianus (Monterrey platyfish), 427 nucleotides long. RefSeq lists it as uncharacterized. The record is from RefSeq and is a predicted model, not a curated record. The transcript is spliced from 2 exons. Lineage: Eukaryota; Metazoa; Chordata; Actinopteri; Cyprinodontiformes; Poeciliidae.